GCCAGGCAUGGUGGCGCAUGCCUGUAAUCCCAGCUGCUCAGGAGGCUGAGGCAAAAGAAUCACUUGAACCCGGGAGGUGGAGGUUGCAGUGAGCCGAGAUCGUGCCACUACACUCCAGCCUGGGUGACAGAGUGAGAUUCUGUCUCAA
RNAcentral lists this non-coding RNA (148 nucleotides) under Nomascus leucogenys (northern white-cheeked gibbon). The record is from Rfam by way of RNAcentral. Lineage: Eukaryota; Metazoa; Chordata; Mammalia; Primates; Hylobatidae.